AGAGUUUGAUCAUGGCUCAGAUUGAACGCUGGCGGCAUGCUUUACACAUGCAAGUCGAACGCGCCAGGGGGCAACUCCUGGUGAGUGGCGAACGGGUGAGUAAUGCAUCGGAACGUGUCCCGUAGUGGGGGAUAACUCGGCGAAAGCCGAGCUAAUACCGCAUAUGCUCUACGGAGGAAAGUGGGGGACCGCAAGGCCUCACGCUAUGGGAGCGGCCGAUGUCCGAUUAGCUUGUUGGUGGGGUAAUGGCUUACCAAGGCGACGAUCGGUAGCUGGUCUGAGAGGAUGAUCAGCCACACUGGGACUGAGACACGGCCCAGACUCCUACGGGAGGCAGCAGUGGGGAAUUUUGGACAAUGGGGGAAACCCUGAUCCAGCCAUGCCGCGUGCGGGAAGAAGGCCUUCGGGUUGUAAACCGCUUUUAGCCGGGAAGAAAAGGCGCGAGCUAAUACCUCGCGUUCUUGACGGUACCGGCGGAAUAAGCACCGGCUAACUACGUGCCAGCAGCCGCGGUAAUACGUAGGGUGCGAGCGUUAAUCGGAAUUACUGGGCGUAAAGCGUGCGUAGGCGGUUCGUUGUGUCUGUGGUGAAAGCCCCGGGCUUAACCUGGGAAUUGCCAUGGAAACUGGCGAGCUUGAGUGUGGCAGAGGGGGGUGGAAUUCCGCGUGUAGCAGUGAAAUGCGUAGAGAUGCGGAGGAACACCGAUGGCGAAGGCAGCCCCCUGGGCUAGCACUGACGCUCAGGCACGAAAGCGUGGGGAGCAAACAGGAUUAGAUACCCUAGUAGUCC
Molecule: ribosomal RNA, 789 nt
Filed under: uncultured bacterium
Lineage: Bacteria
Description: bacterial SSU rRNA
Rfam family: Bacterial small subunit ribosomal RNA
Source: RNAcentral